ACAACAUAUCAAUUUAACUAGCUCCACUUGCGGCUGCGUUUUCAUCUUUUGUUGCCAGUUAUUCGAGGACUAAUGUAAGUUAGUCAUGCAUCAUCAAUGGAGGAAUAUAGUAAACUAUUUGUUUUUAUCGAUUUCCUUUAAGUCAAUGCGCAUCUCGUUGCCUUGGUGUUGCUGUGUGAAGUAUAGCUUGUGUGAAGUAUCAUCAUGGCCUCAUCAAUAGAGCCAAUGAAUAUUUCCAUUAGUAGAACUUGUCAUUUCAAUAUCCAAUAGGUCAUCAAUGAGGUGGUAUUCUAAGUGCCUUGGUAACCUCAGACUGCCCUAUGGAGCAAGUGACUUGUAUUCUAAUAUUCAAGUAAAGGUCUGAGUCUAGUGAUAUUCCAGAACUGAAGUAACCUAGUCUCAUAGUAGUGCUUCCAUUAUUGUAGAGUAAUGUUCUACAGAAAAAGUGUUCCAAUGUAUCCACUAUUACAGAGCAAUAAUAUUCCAUGCAGUACGUACUAUUAUUCGUUGUCGGAAUACUAUUACAGAGCAAGAAUACUCCAUGCAGAUUGUGCAAGAUCUAUUGGAAUAUAAUUCCCAUUAGAAUAUUGGGAAGGCCCUCUUCUAAGGGAUAGGUCCAAGAAGACUGUUGUGUGGGCAGGAGGGUGAGGAGUCACCAAAUGAGUCAGUACGUACCAUCUUCUCCUAGUGAGCCAAGACUCGCAAGCCUUAGGCAAAGAAGAUGCUAAUGUUGUUGGUCCUCCGUCAACAAGACUAUAAAUAUUAGAAUUACAUAGCCGAGAUUUGUUUGUUGUAACUUUUUGUUUUUUUUUCUUUGUUAGUUUUCUUAUUUCAACUGUUAUUGAGUUGUUACUAAACUAUUACUAAGCUCUUUAUAUAGCUUUUGUCUCUGUAGUUUAAGUUUAGUUUUGGUUUAAUAAAAAGGAGUUUUCUCUUCUUCCAUUUCCUUGCUUUCAUCUUAAUAUGGUAUCAAAGCUUUGAUACAAUUUACUGCAAUUUCUCAUAUCUGAUUCUUCUAAUCUUUGUUUUUCUUCAAGAUUGUUGAGUAUUGUUGUUUUUUUUUUUUUCAAUUUUUAUGGAGACUCUAUCAUCUAAAAACACAAGUCAUUCUAGGUCAUCUUCAAACAUAUCUUCCAUUGAUGAACCUUCUAGUCCUUACUUCAUCAUUCGGAUAGUCCAGGACUCAUUCUUGUUUCGCAACCUCUCACUGGAGAUAACUAUGCCUCUUGGAGUAGAACGAUGUUGAUUGCUUUGUCUAUGAAGAAUAAACUAGGAUUCGUUGAUGGCUCAAUCGUCAAACCUGAAGGAACUCAGCACCAAGAGGAUGAUUGGCUAGGGUGACAAGCUUGAAGAUCUUUAUAUUCUUGAUAUAGAUACAUUGAAGUCUACUUCUACAGUUUUUGUAAAUAAUGUUUCAGCUCAUGUAUGACACAAUAGACUUGGUCAUCUUUCUUUCAAACGUUUAGAUGCUUUGAAAAAUCAUUUACAUUGUGAUGUUUCACAAUUGAAUAAAGCUCUUCCUUGU
Molecule: long non-coding RNA, 1525 nt
Organism: Vitis vinifera (wine grape)
Lineage: Eukaryota; Viridiplantae; Streptophyta; Magnoliopsida; Vitales; Vitaceae
Exons: 2
Source: RefSeq, a predicted model, not a curated record